UUUCCGUAGGUGAACCUGCGGAAGGAUCAUUAUCAUGUAAUUCAGUCCCCUUGGCUGUGUUAUAUAUAUACCCACUCUGUGUACCUUCUCCUGUUGCUUCCGCUGGGUGUGUAAUUCGCCCGGCGGAAGGGUAAAAAUAACCUCCGAGUGUUGAUGAAAUCUCUGUCUGAACCGAAUAGAAAGAAAAAUGUUAAAACUUUCAGCAACGGAUCUCUUGGUUCUCACAUCGAUGAAGAACGCAGC
RNAcentral lists this unclassified non-coding RNA (243 nucleotides) under plant metagenome. RNAcentral describes it as "partial contains small subunit ribosomal RNA, internal transcribed spacer 1, and 5.8S ribosomal RNA". The stretch from base 195 to 243 matches the Rfam family "5.8S ribosomal RNA", at positions 1 to 49 of the family's 154-position model. The record is from RNAcentral.